GCCCGAGUGGUGAAAUGGUAGACACUGUGGACUUAAAAUCCCCUGUUCGUAAGGACGUGCCGGUUCGAGUCCGGCCUCGGGCA
This 83-nucleotide transfer RNA is filed under the name Verrucomicrobiota bacterium. RNAcentral describes it as "Verrucomicrobia bacterium (freshwater metagenome) tRNA-Leu". It matches the Rfam family "tRNA". Rfam says of the family: Transfer RNA (tRNA) molecules are approximately 80 nucleotides in length. Their secondary structure includes four short double-helical elements and three loops (D, anti-codon, and T loops). Lineage: Bacteria; Pseudomonadati; Verrucomicrobiota. The record is from RNAcentral.